RNAcentral lists this small RNA (684 nucleotides) under Rattus norvegicus (Norway rat). RNAcentral's name for it is "uncharacterized LOC102553349". The record is from RNAcentral. Lineage: Eukaryota; Metazoa; Chordata; Mammalia; Rodentia; Muridae.
UGCCUUGAUGAUACUGGACUGAACCUCUGAACCUGAUAGUGACAUGUAUGGCACAACUCUAAUGUGGAAGUCAGAGGACAAGAUAUGGGAAUUGGUUCUUCCUUCCAGCACAUGGAUCUGGGGUUUUGACACCAGGUCCUGAGGUUCAACAGCAGGCAGACAGCAACUCUUUUGGGGAUUAACUACCCAUGAUCACACCCGCCUUCAAAAGAGGAAUCCGAACUUGAGCGCUGACUGGCUCAGGCUGGCUUGCUCCUGAGCUCACGAUCUGAACCACGGGUACCAGAAAGGGUCUUUGUCUCUUCCUAGGUCCCUAUUUGUGUGUCUUGAGUGACUUUCCUGAGAAGACAUGAACAAAUGUCUAUUUGUGCCAUGUGGGACAGCAGUCACAGACUAAAGAAACAGGGCCAUCAAUAUCUGACUUGGAAGCCCAGCUAGACUGAUGAACCAAUGAGGUUUUGCCAAACAUCGCAGCCCAGCAUGGACAACACCUCACAGAGAAUUCACAUCCCGAGAGCCCCGACACAGCCAGCAGACUGCUCCAUGGAACAGGAACAGUUCACUUUGAAGGAAAUAGCUACACAAUGCUAUGUUGCCACCAUGUUGAUUCUCAGCUUCUCCAAGCCCACCCACCACAACCACUAACUUUCAGACUAUUGGAUACAUUAAAGGUACUUAUGCACA